This 253-nucleotide ribosomal RNA is filed under the name uncultured bacterium. RNAcentral's name for it is "partial 16S ribosomal RNA". It matches the Rfam family "Bacterial small subunit ribosomal RNA", at positions 524 to 776 of the family's 1533-position model. The record is from RNAcentral.
UACGUAGGGGGCAAGCGUUAUCCGGAUUUACUGGGUGUAAAGGGAGCGUAGACGGCGAUGCAAGCCAGAUGUGAAAGCCCGGGGCUCAACCCCGGGACUGCAUUUGGAACUGUAUAGCUAGAGUGUCGGAGAGGCAGGCGGAAUUCCUAGUGUAGCGGUGAAAUGCGUAGAUAUUAGGAGGAACACCGGUGGCGAAGGCGGCUUACUGGACGAUGACUGACGCUGAGGCUCGAAAGCGUGGGGAGCAAACAGG